AACGAACGCUGGCGGCAUGCCUAACACAUGCAAGUCGAACGAGACCUUCGGGUCUAGUGGCGCACGGGUGCGUAACGCGGGGGAACCUGCCCUUAUGUUCGGAAUAACUCCCCGAAAGGGGUGCACUUCCGGGAAAUGUUCUUCGGACCAAGGAUUUAUCGCCUUUGGAUGGGCCGGGGUUGGAUUAGCUAGUUGGUAGGGUAAAAGCCUACCAAGGUGACGACCCAUAGCUGGUCUGAGAGGAUGAUCAGCCACACUGGGACUGAGACACGGCCCAGACUCCUACGGGAGGCAGCAGUGGGGAAUAUUGGACAAUGGGCGAAAGCCUGAUCGAGCAAGGCUGGGUGAGUGAUGAAGGCCUUAGGGUUGUAAAGCUCUUUUACCCGGGAUGAUAAUGACAGUACCGGGAGAAUAAGCUCCGGCUAACUCCGUG
This 433-nucleotide ribosomal RNA is filed under the name uncultured bacterium. RNAcentral's name for it is "partial 16S ribosomal RNA". It matches the Rfam family "Bacterial small subunit ribosomal RNA", at positions 29 to 507 of the family's 1533-position model. The record is from RNAcentral.